UACGUAGGGUGCAAGCGUUAAUCGGAAUUACUGGGCGUAAAGCGUGCGCAGGCGGUUUCGUAAGUCAGAUGUGAAAUCCCCGGGCUUAACCUGGGAACUGCGUUUGAAACUACAAGGCUAGAGUGUGGCAGAGGGGGGUGGAAUUCCACGUGUAGCAGUGAAAUGCGUAGAGAUGUGGAGGAACACCGGAUGGCGAAGGCAGCCCCCUGGGUUAACACUGACGCUCAGGCACGAAAGCGUGGGGAGCAAACAGG
Molecule: ribosomal RNA, 254 nt
Filed under: uncultured bacterium
Lineage: Bacteria
Description: partial 16S ribosomal RNA
Rfam family: Bacterial small subunit ribosomal RNA
Source: RNAcentral